Molecule: ribosomal RNA, 691 nt
Filed under: uncultured Candidatus Tremblayella sp.
Lineage: Bacteria; Pseudomonadati; Pseudomonadota; Betaproteobacteria
Description: bacterial SSU rRNA
Rfam family: Bacterial small subunit ribosomal RNA
Source: RNAcentral
AGUAGCGGUGAAAUGCGUAGAUAUCUGGAGGAAUACCAAAGGCGAAGGCAGUCCCCUGGUCCGAUACUGACACUGAGGUACGAAAGCGUGGGGAGCAAACAGGAUUAGAUACCCUGGUAGUCCACGCCCUAAACGAUGUCGAUUAGCCAUUGGAAGGACCCCUUUUCCUUUCAGUGACGUAGCUAACGCGUUAAAUCGACCGCCUGGGAAGUACGACCGCAAGGUUAAAACUCAAAGGAAUUGACGGGGACCUGAACAAGCGGUGAAUGAUGUGGAUUAAUUCGAUGCUACGCGAAGAACCUUACCUACCUUUGACAUGGCCAAAGUUCUACCGAGAGGCGGAAGUACUCGUAAGAGGAUUGGCGCACAGGUGCUGCAUGGUUGUCGUCAGUUCGUGUCGUGAGAUGUUGGGUUCAGUCCCGCAACGAACGCAACCCUUUAUCUUUAAUUGCUCCUAUUUUAACAGGCACUUUAAAGAAACUGCCAAUGAUAAGUUGGAGGAAGGUGGGGAUCACGUCAAGUCCGCAUGGCCUUUAUAGGUAGGGCUUCACACGUCAUACAAUGGUUAGAACAAAGAGCUGCAAAUUCGUAAGAAGGAGCCAAUCUCACAAACCUAACCUCAGUUCGAAUUGCGGUCUGCAACUCGAGCGCAUGAAGCCGGAAUCGCUAGUAAUCGUGGAUCAGAAUGCCA